UGUUUUUCUGCAUUUUUGUGAGCACCCAAAACAAAUUAUAUUUUUUAAAGGAUGAAUCAGCCAUUUAUGCUUUGUGUUGGCCUAUUUUUCUAUAGAACCCAUUUAGAGCCCACCGUGGCAGCACGUGUUUUAAAAACAAAGUGGAAAAAAAAAGUGUUUUGUGGUCAUCACUUUGCGAGGCUCAGUUCAAGCUGUGUGUUGACAAGAAAAAAAUUCUGAGAAAAGUUGAACAGGAAACAAAGUGUACAAGAGAAAAGACACAUUGGAUCAAUCGCUCUACAAUUUGGAUUAAAAAGAUCUGAACAACAAUCUCUGCUGAAUUUCUACAUCUACAGUUACGGUGAAGUUCAGGUCUGUUUCUCUCGUUGUCUCAUGGUCAUGAUGUUCAAGCUAAAUCGGGCAGCUCUGCUCUUUAUUCUGCUAUUAGUAACAUGGCAUGUUUUUGCAGAGAUCGCUAAAGACGACCACAGAGCUGUGCUGGUGCCCAGAGGAGACUCAGUGACACUGACUUGCAACAUAUCCAAGACAAAUGCAACACUGAUCACCUGGACCAACAACAGAUCUGUUUUUCAAUAUUCCACUGUGCUGAAUCGCAGCUUUUCAAAUUUCUCAUUUCAUAGACUAAAAAUAAAUCAUGAGUUUCCUACAAAGCUAAUUAUUUUUAGUGCUGAACCUGAAGAUGAAGGACUUUAUACAUGUAACAUAACAGACAGAAGUGGCCUAUACAGCAUUACAUGGAAUUUAACUGUGUCUGAGAGUCCCAAAGGUAGGUAGGACAAAAAAACACUGCCAAUCACUUCAA
This is a long non-coding RNA of Oreochromis niloticus (Nile tilapia), 802 nucleotides long. RefSeq lists it as uncharacterized. The transcript is spliced from 3 exons. NCBI's taxonomy places the organism in Eukaryota, Metazoa, Chordata, Actinopteri, Cichliformes, Cichlidae. The record is from RefSeq and is a predicted model, not a curated record.